AGGGCACCACCAGGAGUGGAGCCUGCGGCUUAAUUUGACUCAACACGGGAAAACUCACCCGGCCCGGACACCGUAAGGAUUGACAGACUGAGAGCUCUUUCUUAAUUCGGUGGGUGGUGGUGCAUGGCCGUUCUUAGUUGGUGGAGCGAUUUGUCUGGUUAAUUCCGAUAACGAACGAGACUCUGGCCUAUUAAAUAGACGGAAUAUCACUUAAGUAUUCCGCGCUUCUUAGAGGGACAAGCGGCGUCUAGCCGCAUGAAAUAGAGCAAUAACAGGUCUGUGAUGCCCUUAGAUGUCCGGGGCUGCACGCGCGCUACACUGAAGGAAUCAGUGUGCUCAUUCGCCUAGUUCGGAAGAACCGGGUAACCCAAGUAAAUUCUUUCGUGCUUGGGAUAGGGAAUUGCAAUUAUUUCCCUUAAACGAGGAAUUCCCAGUAAGUGCGGGUCAUAAGCUCGCGUUGAUUACGUCCCUGCCCUUUGUACACACCGCCCGUCGCUACUACCGAUUGGAUGACUUAGU
RNAcentral lists this ribosomal RNA (519 nucleotides) under uncultured eukaryote. RNAcentral's name for it is "SSU rRNA". It matches the Rfam family "Eukaryotic small subunit ribosomal RNA", at positions 1161 to 1702 of the family's 1831-position model. The record is from RNAcentral.